RNAcentral lists this ribosomal RNA (1382 nucleotides) under uncultured bacterium. RNAcentral's name for it is "bacterial SSU rRNA". It matches the Rfam family "Bacterial small subunit ribosomal RNA", at positions 18 to 1395 of the family's 1533-position model. The record is from RNAcentral.
CCUGGCUCACGUUGAACGCUAGCUACAGGCUUAACACAUGCAAGUCGAGGGGCAGCAUGGUCUUAGCUUGCUAAGGCCGAUGGCGACCGGCGCACGGGUGAGUAACACGUAUCCAACCUGCCGUCUACUCUUGGACAGCCUUCUGAAAGGAAGAUUAAUACAAGAUGGCAUCAUGAGUCCGCAUGUUCACAUGAUUAAAGGUAUUCCGGUAGACGAUGGGGAUGCGUUCCAUUAGAUAGUAGGCGGGGUAACGGCCCACCUAGUCUUCGAUGGAUAGGGGUUCUGAGAGGAAGGUCCCCCACAUUGGAACUGAGACACGGUCCAAACUCCUACGGGAGGCAGCAGUGAGGAAUAUUGGUCAAUGGGCGAGAGCCUGAACCAGCCAAGUAGCGUGAAGGAUGACUGCCCUAUGGGUUGUAAACUUCUUUUAUAAAGGAAUAAAGUCGGGUAUGGAUACCCGUUUGCAUGUACUUUAUGAAUAAGGAUCGGCUAACUCCGUGCCAGCAGCCGCGGUAAUACGGAGGAUCCGAGCGUUAUCCGGAUUUAUUGGGUUUAAAGGGAGCGUAGAUGGAUGUUUAAGUCAGUUGUGAAAGUUUGCGGCUCAACCGUAAAAUUGCAGUUGAUACUGGAUAUCUUGAGUGCAGUUGAGGCAGGCGGAAUUCGUGGUGUAGCGGUGAAAUGCUUAGAUAUCACGAAGAACUCCGAUUGCGAAGGCAGCCUGCUAAGCUGCAACUGACAUUGAGGCUCGAAAGUGUGGGUAUCAAACAGGAUUAGAUACCCUGGUAGUCCACACGGUAAACGAUGAAUACUCGCUGUUUGCGAUAUACAGCAAGCGGCCAAGCGAAAGCGUUAAGUAUUCCACCUGGGGAGUACGCCGGCAACGGUGAAACUCAAAGGAAUUGACGGGGGCCCGCACAAGCGGAGGAACAUGUGGUUUAAUUCGAUGAUACGCGAGGAACCUUACCCGGGCUUAAAUUGCAGAUGAAUUACGGUGAAAGCCGUAAGCCGCAAGGCAUCUGUGAAGGUGCUGCAUGGUUGUCGUCAGCUCGUGCCGUGAGGUGUCGGCUUAAGUGCCAUAACGAGCGCAACCCUUGUUGUCAGUUACUAACAGGUUCCGCUGAGGACUCUGACAAGACUGCCAUCGUAAGAUGUGAGGAAGGUGGGGAUGACGUCAAAUCAGCACGGCCCUUACGUCCGGGGCUACACACGUGUUACAAUGGGGGGUACAGAGGGCCGCUACCACGCGAGUGGAUGCCAAUCCCCAAAACCUCUCUCAGUUCGGACUGGAGUCUGCAACCCGACUCCACGAAGCUGGAUUCGCUAGUAAUCGCGCAUCAGCCACGGCGCGGUGAAUACGUUCCCGGGCCUUGUACACACCGCCC